GGCGACCACGUGAUGUCCGCGUAGUUGUAGGUGGUGUGCUUGCCGGCGGCCGUCCUGGGGCGGUCCAGGAAGAGCAGGUCGUGGGCCUUGAGGAACAGCUCGGCCAUCUCGGGCGACGAGGCGACGACGACGGAGUAGGAGCCGAAGCGGAGGUGCAUGAGCUCGCCGUACUUGUUGGAGAGCUCGUGGAUGGAGCGGUGCGGGAGCGCGCCGACCAGGUUCAGGUUGCCGAUGACAGGCCAUGGCCUCGGGCCCGGCGGGAGGCGAUAAACACGGCGGCGGGACUUGCAUUUCAGACUGCGGAGG
This 306-nucleotide unclassified non-coding RNA is filed under the name Zea mays. RNAcentral describes it as "misc RNA Zm00001eb177250". The record is from RNAcentral. Lineage: Eukaryota; Viridiplantae; Streptophyta; Magnoliopsida; Poales; Poaceae.